GGCCCCGUAGCUCAGCCGGAUAGAGCAGGGCUUUCCUAAAGCCAAGGUCGGGGGUUCGAGUCCCUCCGGGGCCGCCA
This 77-nucleotide transfer RNA is filed under the name Caulobacter sp. RNAcentral's name for it is "tRNA-Arg". It matches the Rfam family "tRNA". From Rfam's summary of the family: Transfer RNA (tRNA) molecules are approximately 80 nucleotides in length. Their secondary structure includes four short double-helical elements and three loops (D, anti-codon, and T loops). The record is from RNAcentral. RNAcentral also lists the same sequence under 4 other names. Lineage: Bacteria; Pseudomonadati; Pseudomonadota; Alphaproteobacteria; Caulobacterales; Caulobacteraceae.